RNAcentral lists this long non-coding RNA (662 nucleotides) under Physcomitrium patens. RNAcentral's name for it is "long non-coding RNA (PPAT_LNC013481)". The record is from RNAcentral. Lineage: Eukaryota; Viridiplantae; Streptophyta; Bryopsida; Funariales; Funariaceae.
UAUAUAUAUAUAUAUAUAUAUUGAAAUAAAUGAAAAGCUACGUCUGUAAUUUAUCUUCACAUUUCUAAAAUUACUUAUUCAUAUUGGGGCACCAUGGAUCGUUCGUUGUGUGGAUAUGAGCCUGGACAACCUUGGAGUGCUCCCCUCUUCCACUUUGAGUUUCAUCCAUCCUAUCUUCAUCCAUCAUGAACACCACCAGUCUUCAUGACCAGAUGGAGAGCACUCAUUGUCACCACCAUCCAAGCCGAGUAACAAAUGAUGAUGUGUUGGGGCCACUGACCCCAGGGCACGAAGGAGUUGAUACUGAGGAGUGUGGUGAUACCUGGGGGAGACGAGGUUGAGGUCGGGAUGGUGAGGGUGGGUGUUGCAGUCGGGGAGUGGGAUCAAAGGGAAGAGACAGAGCGGCACUUUUGAGGGGGGGAAUGGGAUAUCACAAUUGAGUGGACUGGCACCUAAUCCUCUUUUGCCUUCCUUUAUUACAACUGGCUCUCUCUCUCUCGCUCUCUCUGGGCCCAGCCAGCUCUAUACAAGCAGGCUGCGCUCCCCCCAGUUCCCAAAAAGCUGUCGCUUAAAGCUACAAGCGAGGUCCCCAUGAAUGCUUCCCCUCUUUAUGAUCUCAUGCCUGGAUGGAUGAAUGGAAGAACGGAUGAACAGAGGAUGAG